This is a long non-coding RNA of Cebus imitator (Panamanian white-faced capuchin), 1665 nucleotides long. RefSeq lists it as uncharacterized. The transcript has 3 exons. The record is from RefSeq and is a predicted model, not a curated record. Lineage: Eukaryota; Metazoa; Chordata; Mammalia; Primates; Cebidae.
AGACAGCAUCUUGCUAUGUUGUUCAGGCUAGUCUUGAACUGCUGACCUCAAACAAUCCUCCUGCCUUGGCCUCCCAAAGUGCUGGAGUUACAGGCGGUAGCCACCAUGGGCAGCCCCAGUCCAGGGUAUAUUUUUAAAGUGCAAGUUUUUAAUAAGCAGUCCAUCUUUACAUUUGAUGAUUAUAAUGGUAUUUGUGUUGCCAUUUAGAAAUAAAACUGGCAUGUAAAAAUGCCUUUUCAAGGAACAAAGGUUAGAAACUAUUAAGAUUAUUAGGAUAAGCUGCUUGCCACUAUUGAGACAUUUAUCUUGGUGAAUGACUAGGCUCAUGUUUAUAAUGUCUAUGUAACAUUUAAAUGUUGCAGAAUCUCUGAGAAAGACAUGGCAAUUAUGCAUUGUGUUGUCAUUUCAAAGAUAGUUGAGGGUAAUUUGUACUUUGGAGACUGAUAUUUGCCUAACUUUUAAAUAUUUCUUCCUAAAAUUUUAAUCUGUGUUGUGAAACUGUCCUUCCAGUUAUGUUAGUCAAAAUCUUGGUGUAAUAAAUCAGUCAAGUUACAUUUUUUUUCUUUUGGUUAAGUUUUCUUUUUAUAGGUAUACGUAUGUUUCAUUCAAUAGAAAAGUAAUCUUCACUCCGUAUAGAGUGAGCAAACCGCGUGCAUAGAGUUUAUGUUACUACGGAUUUCACCUUGUGCCGGUAUUGUGCUACUUUUUUCCCCUGAUAAGUCAGAACUUCAACAGUUAUUUGUUUUGAUAUUGUGCCCUACUUACAGUAUAAUUUAACGGAGGCUAACCUGGAUUUUUUGGAAAUGACAUUUGAAUGGCAUUGUAUUGCAUUUUAAUAAGGACUUAGCAGUGUUUUACUAGUAAGUUGACUUUCAGAUACUGUAGUAUCAUUGUGCUUAAGAAAAGAUUUAACCUUUUACAGUUUUUGAUCUUCUCUUUUUAUAAUGGGAUGGGUAUUGGUAGCAGGAAAAGAAAGUGAUUAUCAUCUGAUAAAACCUAUGAAGAGUAUAUCAUAUCUUUUUCACACAGAUCAGAUUUCUCUUGACUGAAGAGUUAAUUUCUAAAUGUUAAUCUGUAUUUUAAAAAUGUUAAUAAUUUCUGGCAUGUCCUAGCCUGAUAAAAAAGUUUUUUUUUAAAACAUGAUUUAUGCUAAUAUUAUUUUGUUUUGUUUUGUUUCUCGAGUCGGGGAAAAUAUUCUGUCAAUGGGUAUUUGUAUUGUUUUGUUUUUAAGAAUUUCAGCUCUAGAAUAUACAGUUCUCAUACCAAAAUAUGUAAUGUCUUUAAGAAUUCUAAUGUUAUUUAAGAAUUUUGAUGUUAUUUAAAAAUUUUAAUGUUGUGUUUCUUUAUAAAUGUUUUUUUUUGUUUUGUUUCCAUUUAGAUCUCGAAUAUCUGAUGCAUGCAAAACAGCAGCUAGUAACCACAGCUAAGCGUUGGGAUUCUUCCUCUAAGACUAUUAUAGAUUUUGAACCUAAUGAAACUACUGAUUUGGAGAAGAGCCUUCUUAUCAGAUACCAAAUUCCCCUCUCUGCUGACCAGCUAUUUACCCAGUCCGUUUUAGACAAGUCAUUGACCAAGACCAACUAUCAGUCACGGUUACAUGACCUUCUUUAUAUUGAGGAGAUAGCCCAGUAUAAAGAAAUCAGCAAGUAAACCCUUACAGUGCAG